Molecule: ribosomal RNA, 463 nt
Filed under: uncultured bacterium
Lineage: Bacteria
Description: bacterial SSU rRNA
Rfam family: Bacterial small subunit ribosomal RNA
Source: RNAcentral
GAUGAACGCUAGCGAUAGGCCUAACACAUGCAAGUCGAGCGGGCAAUUUAUCUAGCACUGAUUACUUCAAAUGGCUAUCGCCAGUGUAAUCAUGAAUUUCUACCUUAUUAAUAAAGAAAGAGAAAUUCAUGUACGCAAAUAGUGAUAACACAUUUUAGUGGAGUGAUGAGUGCUGGAUAAAUUGCUAGCGGCGGACGGGUGCGUAACACGUGGGUAACCUGCCCCUAUCACUGGGAUAACACACUGAAAAGUGUGCUAAUACCAGAUAACAUAAGCUUUUGGCAUCAUUAGCUUAUCAAAGAAUUUCGGAUAGGGAUGGGCCCGCGUCUGAUUAGCUAGUUGGUGAGGUAACGGCUCACCAAGGCAACGAUCAGUAGCCGACCUGAGAGGGUGAUCGGCCACACUGGAACUGAGACACGGUCCAGACUCCUACGGGAGGCAGCAGUGGGGAAUAUUGCACAAU